This 347-nucleotide unclassified non-coding RNA is filed under the name soil metagenome. RNAcentral describes it as "partial contains 5.8S ribosomal RNA, internal transcribed spacer 2, and large subunit ribosomal RNA". The stretch from base 1 to 120 matches the Rfam family "5.8S ribosomal RNA", at positions 35 to 154 of the family's 154-position model. The record is from RNAcentral.
GAUGAAGAACGUAGCGAAAUGCGAUAAGUAAUGUGAAUUGCAGAAUUCAGUGAAUCAUCGAGUCUUUGAACGCACAUUGCGCCCCCUGGUAUUCCGGGGGGCAUGCCUGUCCGAGCGUCAUUGCUGCCCUCAAGCACGGCUUGUGUGUUGGGCUUCCGUCCCUGGCAACGGGGACGGGCCCAAAAGGCAGUGGCGGCACCAUGUCUGGUCCUCGAGCGUAUGGGGCUUUGUCACACGCUCCCGUAGGUCCAGCUGGCAGCUAGCCUCGCAACCAAUCUUUUUAACCAGGUUGACCUCGGAUCAGGUAGGGAUACCCGCUGAACUUAAGCAUAUCAAUAAGCGGAGGA